GGAUCUCCCUCCUGAGGGAAGAUUCUCUCUGAGAGUCUUACAUAUGGGGGCUCGUCCGGGAUCGGAGAUCCUCUGCCUAGAGACCACCGACCACCCACCGGGAGGCUAAAAGACCUACAGGUGAUACAGAAAGAAAUCUGCUCACAGCUGACAGCAGCCUAUGCCCCGGAGACCCCUGAGACAUCCCAUCAGUUCCAGGUUAGAGACUACAGCUACAUACAACGACACGGAGCCCAGACACUCGAGCCUCGCUGGAAAGGACCGUACCUGGUGCUGCUGACCACCCUGACAGCCAUCAAGUCUCACCCUCACCAGCCGAGUACUAGCUGUUGGAGCUGAGAGCUGGGACCUAGAGGGACACUCAGAUCUUCAAAAAGCUCCCUAGACUUAAGUGAUUGGGAGGUUGCUAUAAUGCUUACUUGAGGAGUGUGUUUUAGAAACAAGAAUUUCAUGUUUGCCUGUUUGCCCUGGGUUCCCUCGGAAUAGGUGUAAGGAUAGGCUUGAUUUUUAUUACAAAUGAUGUAAUAUUACAUAUGUUAGUACUCCUAACACUUCUUGGGACUGUGCCUCAGGGAUCACAACCUAUAUAAGUUUAGAAGUUCUAAAAGACCUUGGUGUAUAGGUUCAGAUAGUGUCCAGAUUAGAAUCCUGAUGCUAAAGACUUAAUAAGACACAGAAGAGAGUUGAGAAUUAUUUAAGGCUAUCUAGGUGCUACAAGGGCAGCACAAGGACAUCUGCUGUUGCCCUAUAAUGCAAGGCUUAUAGAGAAUUCAAAACUGCCAUUGACUCAGAUAUGAAAAGAGUAAAAAAGACUUUUUAGCUGACCUCCAAGAACACCUAACCUCCCUCUCAGAGGUAGUCCUUCAAAAUAGAAAAAGAUUAGACCUGAUAUUCCUUAAAGAAGGAGUAUGUGUGCUACACUAAAAGAAGAAUGUUGUUUCUAUGCAGAUCAGACAGGAAUAAUAAGAGAUAUAGACUUUCAGUCAUUCAAACUUUUGUGAUGAGACAACAGUAUCAGAUGAUAAAACAACAAAAAACAGAGGUACCUUAACCAAGUUGAGUGGAAGAUUCCACUCAAGGACAAAAAAAGAAAAUGGGGGAAUGAAAGACCCCCUCCCAGAAAGGGAAUUGUACAAGCCCAAGGCCCUCAACUAUAGAAAUAAAAAGUAAGUUUUUAGAUAUGUGGGACAAGCUGACCCAUCAUUUAGACGAAACAGACCAGAAAAGAAAACAAAAUGCAGAAACCAGACUAAAUUAUGGGCACUGCUCCAUGGGCCACCUGGCAGGAAAAAGAAAAAGUCCCUGACCCCCCGGAAGCCCUGACCACCAUGUACUUUUUGCUAACUCACUGUUAUGAUUAUAGCCAAAAUAGGUAACAUACACGUAUGCCUCAUUUACUCCACCAAUCACAUCCCUGUAACCAUGCAUCUGCUUCUGUAAGCCUGCUUCUGCUCCCCAAUGCCUUAUAAAAACCCGUCCCUGGUUCUGCUAGGCGCGCCAGUCUUCCGAAUUGACUGGGACGCCCACAGAUACCUGUGUAUCCUGAUCAAUAAAAAUCCUCUUGCUGAUUGCA
Rattus norvegicus (Norway rat) is the source of this 1573-nucleotide non-coding RNA. The record is from RefSeq and is a predicted model, not a curated record. NCBI's taxonomy places the organism in Eukaryota, Metazoa, Chordata, Mammalia, Rodentia, Muridae.